CAGGCCAUCCUGAGCACUCCCAGGAAAACAUCUGCUAAGCAGAGGAGGAGGAUUGUCAACAAGAUAGAAGAAGAUCAUAGGAUGAUGCAAACCAUCUUUAAAGAGUGCUUAGGUCCUGCAGCUGGUUCUCUCAAGGAUCCCAUAAAAGCAAUUUUAGAACUUGUUCAAACUUCUGAUCCUGAGGGGAUGAAAAUAGCACUUCUGCCCAUACUAAAAGAAUUUCCUGACCUCAGGAAGGAACAUCUGAGUGCAGUGCUGGAUAUCAAAGAUUCGCUCAGCCGAGAAGACAGAGCUGCUGUCUUGAAGGCAUUUCAUGAUAAUUGCAGUGACUCAGAAACAGAAGGAAACUUGCUUUUUGCAGAUAUAGAAGUAAAACCUAGAAAAUAUGGACUCUAUGGCUGUCUCUGCUGUUAGCAAAGGCCUGCUGGGAGAAACAUGAGGCCUUGCUCUGCUGUGCCAGUGUCUGCAACCACAGCUCCUUGAAAGCUUCAUAUGCAGCUGGAUGCAUGGAGAAGUCUGUCAGCCAUGGAAGACAAAAUUUCUGCACUUUUUAAGGAAAACCAUGAGGCUCAAGUCAUAAUCUUAUAUGUAAAGUCAGGAGGAAGAUGAAUGGGAUAUGGUCAAAAGACAUUUCUUCAAAAUUUGCUAGAGAUUGCCAUUCAGCUGAGUCCUGGUGGUUAUUCCCAGGUUGUGGCAAGUGUGGAGGAGGGUUUCCCCUCACUGAAUUCCUCUCUGUUUCUGCCCCUUGUUCCAUGAAAUCUCCAAUGAAACCAGGGACUGCUGUACCACAGUGUACCAGCAUUGUAACCUCCCGAGGGAUCCAAGACCUCUGUUAGGGAAUAUUGCCUGGCUGAUUGUGCUGGCAAUGCCUGCAGGUCUGGGCACCUCAGUUUACUCCCCAAAGCCUGACCUGCACCAGGAGGGUGCAGACUGAGCUGCCUCUUCCCUCUCUCAGGAAGGCUGUGACAUGCUUUGGGGGCAGCCUGCCAUGGUGAGGUGUGGGAUAGGGAGCUCUUCCUGUAUGAGUUUUACAGCUGCCUCUGGAGCAUAGACUUGCAUUAAUUUUUAUAUCACAGUUACUGGAAAUUUCCUCUUGGAGAGGGAGGGGGAAACCUCAUGACAAGCAGGCAGUAAAAGGAGGCAUUUGUCUCAGCCUCUGGGCAAGGUCUUUGCUAGUUUUCAGAUGUAAAUAGGAAGUUCUAAAGGAAAAACAUUGAUUUUUCUUCCUGGUUAUCUAUGGACUGGUCACAGGCCCUAAGCAGGAAGUGCUUCAAAGCCCUCUUUUGCUAUUGUGUGAAUAGAGGCCAUUACUGCUCCUCUUUGACACCAUCACAAAAAACUCUACCUCAGAUGUGCCAUUGCUUUUCUGAGCAACCAUUCCCCCUCAAGUCUGCUACCCUAACAAGAAGAGGGAAAAUUUGUGCAUACCUGUCAAUGUGUGUAGCAGCAGACAUGCCAUACCCUGGUAUCCUGAGAAGUGCAGGCCCAUCUGGGUGCUGCCACAUUCUGCAGUGCUGUGCCAUCACCCCAGGGACACAGGUGCCCCAUCCCAGAGCCCUCAGUGCAGAUAGGCUCCUGUGAGGUGGAAAGGAGCAGGUUUGUAAUUGUCAUUAGCUUUGUUCCUAUGCAGUGCUGAGCGUGAGGUGAGUGUCAGAGGAGAAGGAAGAAACACCACCUCCAGGGAGUCCUCUGUGUGUUUUCAGGCCACCAGGAGACCGUGGCACUGUUACACUUCUUCCCUCUUGUCACUGAAGUGCAGUGAGAGCAUCCCAUGGCCUGCCUGCCCUUCCUGACUGCCUGGCUGCUCAAAAGGCCAGUGCUGGUGUCCCUAACAUUUCAUAGCUGUCCAUUGUGGCUUCAGUGAGACCUUCCCUGGGAUGUUGGAAGGCUGGGGAACCUGGGGGAGCUGCAGCCUGUCUGGGUGGGCUUGGGUUGGGCUGUGGGGCUGGUGAGCACCUGCCUUCUGAAGGCUGUCAGCCCUUCCAGGCACUCUGGGCCAGUCACUCUCCCCUCCUGCUGAAUUGCACAUUUUUUCAAGGAUGGGAAGGAAUAUCAGACCUGGCUGACAGACCCUAUUGUAAUGGCAGGGUCAAGGUCAGCCUCUGCCAAUGGGGAUUUCAAGAAACAACCCUUCCAGAGGAAAGAAAUAAAACCCUCUCUGACAUUUCCAUCACUGUUGGGCUAAAAAUAAUCCUUCAGCAUGUGGACAGCUCUGGCCAUGCACAUGUCGAUGUCGAUGUGUAUCUGUGCUGUUUGACAUCUGCAGCCAGACAAGGGUGUGUUCUGCUUGGAAUCAGCAGCUGGGAGCCCCCAGGCUUGCCAUUGCUGUGUGCAGAUCAAUGAGGUUUUGUAGCAGCAAGUUUUUGCACCAUGUG
Molecule: long non-coding RNA, 2375 nt
Organism: Onychostruthus taczanowskii (white-rumped snowfinch)
Lineage: Eukaryota; Metazoa; Chordata; Aves; Passeriformes; Passeridae
Exons: 4
Source: RefSeq, a predicted model, not a curated record